UUUUACCAAAUGUUGUCCGGUCAGAUAAAAAAAUGGUAUAGUUAAUAACCCUGAUAGUAUAUUAAAGGGAGAUAUAGUGGUCAAGGAAGUAUAGUGUGUAAUGAAAGGAAUUCAUGAUUGAGGUGUAUUAAGUUAUAGUGUGUAAUGAAAAAAUGUAGUGGUCGAGAGAAUAUAGUGUGCAAUGAAAGGAUGUAGUAGUUGAGGUGGAUGUAGUGAUUGAAGAAGCAUAAUGUGCAAUAAGAGGAUGUAGU
Molecule: non-coding RNA, 251 nt
Organism: Pelobates cultripes (western spadefoot toad)
Lineage: Eukaryota; Metazoa; Chordata; Amphibia; Anura; Pelobatidae
Source: the annotation of a GenBank genome assembly